RNAcentral lists this ribosomal RNA (253 nucleotides) under Acidobacterium sp. RNAcentral describes it as "partial 16S ribosomal RNA". It matches the Rfam family "Bacterial small subunit ribosomal RNA", at positions 524 to 776 of the family's 1533-position model. RNAcentral also lists the same sequence under 2 other names. The record is from RNAcentral. Lineage: Bacteria; Pseudomonadati; Acidobacteriota; Terriglobia; Terriglobales; Acidobacteriaceae.
UACGUAGGGGGCCAGCGUUGCUCGGAAUUACUGGGCGUAAAGGGUCCGUAGGCGGUGUGGCAAGUCGGGAGUGAAAUCUCUGGGCUUAACUCAGAGGCUGCUUCCGAAACUGCCGUGCUAGAGUGUGAGAGAGGCGAGUGGAAUUGCGGGUGUAGCGGUGAAAUGCGUAGAUAUCCGCAGGAACAUCCGAGGCGAAAGCGGCUCGCUGGAUCACAACUGACGCUGAGGGACGAAAGCUAGGGGAGCAAACAGG